Molecule: ribosomal RNA, 301 nt
Filed under: uncultured bacterium
Lineage: Bacteria
Description: partial 16S ribosomal RNA
Rfam family: Bacterial small subunit ribosomal RNA
Source: RNAcentral
CAGUAGCCGCGGGAACACGAAGGGUGCAAGCGUUAAUCGGAAUUACUGGGCGUAAAGCGUGCGUAGGCGGUUUGUUAAGUCUGUUGUGAAAUCCCCGGGCUCAACCUGGGAAUGGCAAUGGAUACUGGCAAGCUAGAGUGUGGCAGAGGGGGGUGGAAUUCCGCGUGUAGCAGUGAAAUGCGUAGAUAUGCGGAGGAACACCGAUGGCGAAGGCAGCCCCCUGGGCCAACACUGACGCUCAUGCACGAAAGCGUGGGGAGCAAACAGGAUUAGAUACCCCUGUAGUCCCUGUCUCUUAUAU